This 2276-nucleotide long non-coding RNA is filed under the name Citrus sinensis (sweet orange). RNAcentral describes it as "long non-coding RNA (CSIN_LNC003481)". Lineage: Eukaryota; Viridiplantae; Streptophyta; Magnoliopsida; Sapindales; Rutaceae. The record is from RNAcentral.
AUCAUGAGAAGAAAGCUUUCGUUCCUUGAAUCACUAGGCAUGUCAGUCAUGAUAAACAACUUCCAAAUAACAAAAAAUGGAAGUUGAUUCUCAAGCAAAAUCAUAUCUCGUGCUAUGGAAGGUAACAUCCAACCUAGUUUAAAAUUUGGGUCAUCAUCUCCUCUCAAAUGUUUCAACCUAAACUUGCGAAUAACCUCAACAAUAAAGCAACCAUCGAGAAGCAUCAUUUGCACAAACUCAUCUCUGUUUAAACUUAUAGAUCCUCCAUAACACUUUCGAGCUCUUUCUUCCAAUGCCCUCAUGGCCAUGACAUAGUCUGACAAAGGUAUACGAGUACGCUCUAGAAGUUUUUUAAGAUAGCGAGUUUUGUGCUCUUCAACUGCUGUACGGCCAAGGCGGAUGUACGGUACAGCAGUAGUGCAGGAACACGAUGCUCUUUCUAAGGAAUAGUAUAGAGAAGCAUAUUCUUCCCAGAUUCUUCCUCAGGAAUCUCUCUUUCCACCUAUCUUCCAAACCAUCUGCCAUGUGAUCACCAUCGGCCUUAAUUGCAUUGGGCUCCAAGAUUGUAAUGUAUGUGUUAAUUCAUGUUUUGUACCAUGUACAUGGCUAAUAAAUUAAACAAGGCCCUUUCAUCAAGCUUAUAAAGGGAGUAAGCCGAAACUAAUACUUUGAUGAUGCGUCGUUGCAGUUGCUUGUUUGAAUGCCAUUUGCUUGCAAGUGAUUUACUCUUGAUUUUCUGAUCUGCAGAUUGAUUCUAUCGCUCCUCUUUCAUUUUGAUGAAACAUAAUGUUAACUAAUGAUAGAAGAAUUUCAUCUUAUUGAAAUUGUUAGACUUGAAAUUCGAGACAGAUAUAACGCGUCCAAACUAUCCGCGAUGUGAUCACCAAUGCCAUGAGUAAUAUUUACAUAUUAUUUAACCUGCAUCUUCUAUUUAGUAAUGCUCGCAUUUGACAUUGCACACUAACAAAAUUUAACUCAGUACCUUGUUUAGUGUCGAAUAAGUCGUAUUAUAUUUGACAAACCAAAUAAGCAACAACUGUAAAUAAAGUUUAUACAAAUUUAAGAAGAAGAAUGGACAAUCACUACAUUUAACCAUCUUGACUCAUGUCUACAAUACCACAGUAGCUACUGUAUCUGCUUCUAUAUUCAAUGGCUUUGCGCUUGUUGAUAAUAAGAAAGAACUGCAAACAGAGCUUGCUGCAACGUUAGGAGAAGUAGGAAAAGAGCAGCAAGAACGGAGAUGAUUGCCCAUGGAGUGUUGAAAUAAUUGUGCCUCAACUUGGCCAUCCACUUAUUACGACGCCUACUGCAAUGCAAAAUCACUUUGUUGAAAACCUCACGGUAAUAGAACUUCUCACCGAGUACAACGCCAUCACAAAGCUUGUUCAAUAAGGUUGCAAUCACUUCAUCAUCUCCUAACAAAUUCUCAAUUAUUCCACGACGGCGGAGUAAUUCAGCAUCCUUUGAAGAAUUGAUGAGGCAGUUCAGGAAUUCGACAUAAUCGAUUACAUGCUUCAGAUUUAAGUCUUGGGAACACUGCUCGUAUGCAAUGAAAUUCUGUAAAAUUGUUUCUGUAGCAUCACCAAUUUCCAAGGACGGCAUCUUCAUUACCCCAUUUUCGAACUUAAUAUCGAACAAGGAAUCAUCUUUAAGGACCUCAACCUUCCGGAAGCGGAUUCCAGCCUCUCGAAUCUCUAUGGCAGAACCAAUGAAGCUCCAGUAACUAUUAUCUGUGGCAUUAUUCCUAUAUGCUUCAACUCCUGCAGGUGAAGGAAGCCAAUUUGCGUGUAUUAAAUGGACCAAAUGUUUUAUUUCAUUUAUGGGGUAAACAUCAACUUGAUAAACAAUAUCUCUUCGACAACCUUUCCCUGGUAAUAUGCCAUUGAAAAAACGCAGGAUCAUGAGAAGAAAGCUUUCGUUCCUUGAAUCACUAGGCAUGUCAGUCAUGAUAAACAACUUCCAAAUAACAAAAAAUGGAAGUUGAUUCUCAAGCAAAAUCAUAUCUCGUGCUAUGGAAGGUAACAUCCAACCUAGUUUAAAAUUUGGGUCAUCAUCUCCUCUCAAAUGUUUCAACCUAAACUUGCGAAUAACCUCAACAAUAAAGCAACCAUCGAGAAGCAUCAUUUGCACAAACUCAUCUCUGUUUAAACUUAUAGAUCCUCCAUAACACUUUCGAGCUCUUUCUUCCAAUGCCCUCAUGGCCAUGACAUAGUCUGACAAAGGUAUACGAGUACGCUCUAGAAGUUUUUUAAGAUAGCGAGUUUUGUGCUCUUCAA